GAUAUGAGGGUGACGGAAGAAAUUGCACAGCCCUCAUCCCCGGCUGUUCACCAUCUUGUGGUCCAAACUCGUUUUGUCAAGAGAGUGGUGGACUUUUCGUUUGUGAUUGUAAUGCUGGUUACCAAGGUGACGGAUACAACUGUGCAGAUGUCGAUGAGUGUGAAAGUCCUGAAGCAAACAGUUGUCAUCCGAACGCCUUGUGUACCAACACGGAAGGCUCUUAUGUAUGCCGUUGUCUAAGAGGCUACAAUGGCAAUGGAAGGAAUUGUACAGAUUACGACGAAUGCGCCAAUGAAGAUCAAAACGAAUGUGAUCCAAACGCAUUGUGUACCAACACUGAAGGAUCAUAUGUUUGUCGCUGCCUGAGAGGAUAUGAAGGCGCCGGGAGAAAUUGCACGGCUGUCACACCCGGCUGU
Orbicella faveolata is the source of this 416-nucleotide long non-coding RNA. NCBI's taxonomy places the organism in Eukaryota, Metazoa, Cnidaria, Anthozoa, Scleractinia, Merulinidae. The record is from RefSeq and is a predicted model, not a curated record.